UAAUACGAAGGGUGCAAGCGUUAAUCGGAAUUACUGGGCGUAAAGCGUGCGUAGGCGGUUGGUUAAGUCUGUCGUGAAAGCCCUGGGCUCAACCUGGGAAUGGCGAUGGAAACUGGCCAGCUAGAGUGUGAUAGAGGAUGGCGGAAUUCCCGGUGUAGCGGUGAAAUGCGUAGAGAUCGGGAGGAACAUCCGUGGCGAAGGCGGCCAUCUGGAUCAACACUGACGCUGAGGCACGAAAGCGUGGGGAGCAAACAGGAUUAGAUACCCUGGUAGUCCACGCCCUAAACGAUGCGAACUGGAUGUUGGGCUCAACUCGGAGCUCAGUGUCGAAGCUAACGCGUUAAGUUCGCCGCCUGGGGAGUACGGUCGCAAGACUG
This 377-nucleotide ribosomal RNA is filed under the name uncultured bacterium. RNAcentral's name for it is "bacterial SSU rRNA". It matches the Rfam family "Bacterial small subunit ribosomal RNA", at positions 521 to 896 of the family's 1533-position model. The record is from RNAcentral.